ACAUUUCUUUAAGAUUUAUAUUUAAGGUAGGUUCUGCCCUAUGAUUUGGAUCUAAAUUUAAAUGGCUGCAGUAUCUUGACUGUGCAAAGGUAGCAUAAUAAUUAGUUUCUUAAUUAGGGACUUGUAUGAAUGAAUUAAUGAGAUAUUUAUUUUAUUAUGAUUAUAUUUAUAAUUUAAAUUUUAAGUCAAAAUGCUUAAUUUUAUUAUCGGGACGAUAAGACCCUAUAGAACUUUUAAUUAGUUUUUAUUUGUUAUUAUUUAGUUUUUAUAAUUAAAGUAUAAAUUUAUUUUUUACUGGGGUGGUGAAUAAAUAUAAACUUUAUUUUUUUUUAUCAUUUUAUUUAUGUUUAUUUUGAUCCAUUAAUUGUGAUUAUAAGAUUAAGUUACCUUAGGGAUAACAGCGUAAUUUUAAUGGAAAGUUCAUAUUUAUAUUAAAGUUUGCGACCUCGAUGUUGAAUUAAGAUAAAAUUAAGGGGUAGGUUCUUUAAUAUUAGGUCUGUUCGACCUUUAAAUUCUUACAUGAUCUG
Molecule: ribosomal RNA, 527 nt
Filed under: Podulmorinus vitticollis
Lineage: Eukaryota; Metazoa; Arthropoda; Insecta; Hemiptera; Cicadellidae
Description: partial large subunit ribosomal RNA
Rfam family: Bacterial large subunit ribosomal RNA (bases 394-527)
Source: RNAcentral